Molecule: ribosomal RNA, 530 nt
Filed under: uncultured bacterium
Lineage: Bacteria
Description: bacterial SSU rRNA
Rfam family: Bacterial small subunit ribosomal RNA
Source: RNAcentral
UGGGGAAUAUUGCACAAUGGGCGGAAGCCUGAUGCAGCGACGCCGCGUGGGGGAUGAAGGCCUUCGGGUUGUAAACUCCUUUCGACAGGGACGAAGCUUUUGUGACGGUACCUGUAUAAGAAGCACCGGCUAACUACGUGCCAGCAGCCGCGGUAAUACGUAGGGUGCGAGCGUUGCCCGGAAUUACUGGGCGUAAAGAGCUCGUAGGUGGUUUGUCGCGUCGUCUGUGAAAUUCCGGGGCUUAACUCCGGGCGUGCAGGCGAUACGGGCUGACUUGAGUGCUGUAGGGGAGACUGGAAUUCCUGGUGUAGCGGUGAAAUGCGCAGAUAUCAGGAGGAACACCGAUGGCGAAGGCAGGUCUCUGGGCAGUAACUGACGCUGAGGAGCGAAAGCAUGGGUAGCGAACAGGAUUAGAUACCCUGGUAGUCCACGCCGUAAACGAUGAGUGCUAAGUGUUAGGGGGUUUCCGCCCCUUAGUGCUGCAGCUAACGCAUUAAGCACUCCGCCUGGGGAGUACGACCGCAAGGUUG